UUUCAAAAAUAACCUUUUGUUC
Molecule: microRNA, 22 nt
Filed under: Oryza sativa (Asian cultivated rice)
Lineage: Eukaryota; Viridiplantae; Streptophyta; Magnoliopsida; Poales; Poaceae
Description: osa-miR2122
Source: miRBase by way of RNAcentral